This 497-nucleotide ribosomal RNA is filed under the name uncultured bacterium. Its description in RNAcentral is "partial 16S ribosomal RNA". It matches the Rfam family "Bacterial small subunit ribosomal RNA", at positions 28 to 507 of the family's 1533-position model. The record is from RNAcentral.
GUUGAACGCUGGCGGCGGGCCUAAUACAUGCAAGUCGAGCGAAAAGACGAGGCGCUUUCCUCCCUGGCGGACGCGGCGGGCGGGUGAGUAACACGUGGAUAACAUACCUCUAAGACUGGGGUAACUUAGUGAAACCGGUGCCAAUAACGGCUAAUCUAUGCAACAGCAUAGAUCAGUAGUGAAAGACGUCUUUCCUUUCACUUAUCGAUGAAGCCGCGCCGCAUUAGCUAGUUGGUAAGGUAACGGCUUACCAGGGCAACCAUGCGUCGCCGAGCUUAGAGGGUGAUCCGCCACACUGGAACUGAGACCAGGUCCAGACUCCCAAGGGAGGGAGCAGUAGGGAAUUUUCGGCAAUGGGCGGAAGCCUGAAGGAGCAACGCCGCGUGAGUGAUGAAGGUCUUUGGAUCGUAAAACUCUGUUAUGAGGGAAGAAAAAAUGUGUAAGUAACUAUGCACGUCUUGACGGUACCUAAUAAGAGAGGCACGGCUUACUACGGG